Molecule: ribosomal RNA, 388 nt
Filed under: uncultured bacterium
Lineage: Bacteria
Description: bacterial SSU rRNA
Rfam family: Bacterial small subunit ribosomal RNA
Source: RNAcentral
GACGAACGCUGGCGGCGUGCUUAACACAUGCAAGUCGAGCGGUAAGGCCCUUUCGGGGGUACACGAGCGGCGAACGGGUGAGUAACACGUGGGUGACCUGCCCUUAGCUCUGGGAUAAGCCUGGGGAAACUGGGUCUAAUACCGGAUAUGACUCCAUGACGCAUGUUGUGGGGUGAAAGCCUUGUGCGGCUAGGGAUGGGCCUGCGGCCUAUCAGCUUGUUGGUGGGGUNAUGGCCUACCAAGGCGACGACGGUAGCCGGCCUGAGAGGGCGACCGGCCACACUGGGACUGAGACACGGGCCCAGACUCCUACGGGAGGCAGCAGUGGGGAAUCUUGCGCAAUGGGCGAAAGCCUGACGCAGCGACGCCGCGUGGGGAUGACGGCCUC